GAAAAUGACACUUUCAAUAUUUGGUUCUUCAAUAACCCAAUAUAUUUCAAGAACGUGAGCAAACACUUUCUAUUAGAAACAAAUAAAUGCUGGAAAAGUGAAACUUCAUCAAGAUGCACCUCUUAAGCCAGGUGGUCUUUUUCUCUGUAAGAGACUACGUAUUUAACUAUUUCACUAACAACUAUAAAAGAAUGUAGACUACGUCUAGCUCUAGUUUUUACUCGUUUAUCGAUCUUUCAGUUGCGGAAGGGUUGUAUAGGCCUGACGUGAAAGGUGAUGGCCCAUCUUUGGGAGCAACAAUGCUCAACGGCCCCCGCAGUGUUCACUCCUUUAGAACCACAUUAAAAAAAAAUUUGUUUGUUUUUCCACGAGCAAUAAUAUUUUUGAAUGUCAUUUGCUCCACGUUUUUCUUG
Molecule: long non-coding RNA, 413 nt
Filed under: Brassica rapa (field mustard)
Lineage: Eukaryota; Viridiplantae; Streptophyta; Magnoliopsida; Brassicales; Brassicaceae
Description: long non-coding RNA (BRAP_LNC004632)
Source: RNAcentral